UNGGAUGCAGCCUCUCUGUAGGAAUAUUGU
This 30-nucleotide non-coding RNA is filed under the name Mus musculus (house mouse). Lineage: Eukaryota; Metazoa; Chordata; Mammalia; Rodentia; Muridae. The record is from RNAcentral.